GGUUAAGCGACUAAGCGUACACGGUGGAUGCCCUGGCAGUCAGAGGCGAUGAAGGGCGUGCUAAUCUGCGAUAAGCGCCGGUAAGGUGAUAUGAACCGUUAUAACCGGCGAUACCCGAAUGGGGAAACCCAGUGUGACUCGUCACACUAUCAUUAACUGAAUCCAUAGGUUAAUGAGGCGAACCGGGGGAACUGAAACAUCUAAGUACCCCGAGGAAAAGAAAUCAA
RNAcentral lists this ribosomal RNA (227 nucleotides) under Salmonella enterica. Its description in RNAcentral is "partial 23S ribosomal RNA". It matches the Rfam family "Bacterial large subunit ribosomal RNA", at positions 1 to 228 of the family's 2925-position model. Lineage: Bacteria; Pseudomonadati; Pseudomonadota; Gammaproteobacteria; Enterobacterales; Enterobacteriaceae. The record is from RNAcentral. RNAcentral also lists the same sequence under 3 other names.